CUUAUUAACCCUGAGGCGUGAUGACGAUGCACUACGGUGCAGAAGUAGUUGAUGCCAAGCUUCCAGGAAAAGCCUCUAAGCAUCAGGUAACACAGAAUCGUACCCCAAACCGACACAGGUGGUCAGGUAGAGAAUACCAAGGCGCUUGAGAGAACUCGGGUGAAGGAACUAGGCAAAAUGGUGCCGUAACUUCGGGAGAAGGCACGCUGGCGCGUAGGUGAAGAGACUUGCUCUCGGAGCUGAAGCCAGUCGCAGAUACCAGCUGGCUGCAACUGUUUAAUAAAAACACAGCACUGUGCAAACACGAAAGUGGACGUAUACGGUGUGACGCCUGCCCGGUGCUGGAAGGUUAAUUGAUGGGGUCAGCCGCAAGGCGAAGCUCUUGAUCGAAGCCCCAGUAAACGGCGGCCGUAACUAUAACGGUCCUAAGGUAGCGAAAUUCCUUGUCGGGUAAGUUCCGACCUGCACGAAUGGCGUAAUGAUGGCCAGGCUGUCUCCACCCGAGACUCAGUGAAAUUGAACUCGCUGUGAAGAUGCAGUGUACCCGCGGCAAGACGGAAAGACCCCGUGAACCUUUACUAUAGCUUGACACUGAACAUUGAGCCUUGAUGUGUAGGAUAGGUGGGAGGCUUUGAAGCGUGGACGCCAGUCUGCGUGGAGCCAACCUUGAAAUACCACCCUUUAAUGUUUGAUGUUCUAACUCGGCCCCGUGAUCCGGGGUGAGGACAGUGUCUGGUGGGUAGUUUGACUGGGGCGGUCUCCUCCCAAAGAGUAACGGAGGAGCACGAAGGUUAGCUAAUCACGGUCGGACAUCGUGAGGUUAGUGCAAAGGCAUAAGCUAGCUUGACUGCGAGAGUGACGGCUCGAGCAGGUACGAAAGUAGGUCUUAGUGAUCCGGUGGUUCUGAAUGGAAGGGCCAUCGCUCAACGGAUAAAAGGUACUCCGGGGAUAACAGGCUGAUACCGCCCAAGAGUUCAUAUCGACGGCGGUGUUUGGCACCUCGAUGUCGGCUCAUCACAUCCUGGGGCUGAAGUAGGUCCCAAGGGUAUGGCUGUUCGCCAUUUAAAGUGGUACGCGAGCUGGGUUUAGAACGUCGUGAGACAGUUCGGUCCCUAUCUGCCGUGGGCGUUGGAAGAUUGAGAGGGGUUGCUCCUAGUACGAGAGGACCGGAGUGAACGCACCACUGGUGUUCGGGUUGUCAUGCCAAUGGCACUGCCCGGUAGCUAAGUGCGGAAAAGAUAAGCGCUGAAAGCAUCUAAGCGCGAAACUUGCCUCGAGAUGAGUCUUCCCUGGGCCUUUAAGGUCCCUGAAGGAACGUUUAAGACUAAGACGUUGAUAGGCUGGGUGUGUAAGUGCAGCGAUGCAUUGAGCUAACCAGUACUAAUGAUCCGUGAGGCUUAACCUU
RNAcentral lists this ribosomal RNA (1405 nucleotides) under Serratia liquefaciens FK01. RNAcentral's name for it is "bacterial LSU rRNA". It matches the Rfam family "Bacterial large subunit ribosomal RNA", at positions 1546 to 2925 of the family's 2925-position model. The record is from RNAcentral. Lineage: Bacteria; Pseudomonadati; Pseudomonadota; Gammaproteobacteria; Enterobacterales; Yersiniaceae.